GACGAACGCUGGCGGCGUGCUUAACACAUGCAAGUCGAACGGAAAGGCCCUGCUUGCAGGGUACUCGAGUGGCGAACGGGUGAGUAACACGUGGGUGAUCUGCCCUGCACUUCGGGAUAAGCUUGGGAAACUGGGUCUAAUACCGGAUAGGAGCCAUCUUUAGUGUGGUGGUUGGAAAGUUUUUUCGGUGUAGGAUGAGCUCGCGGCCUAUCAGCUUGUUGGUGGGGUAAUGGCCUACCAAGGCGGCGACGGGUAGCCGGCCUGAGAGGGUGUACGGCCACAUUUGGACUGAGGUACGGCCCAGACUCCUACGGGGGGCAGCAGGGGGGAAUAUUGCACAAUGGGCGCAAGCCUGAUGCAGCGACGCCGCGUGGGGGAUGAAGGCCUUCGGGUUGUAAACUCCUUUCGCUAGGGACGAAGCUUUUUGUGACGGUACCUAGAUAAGAAGCACCGGCUAACUACGUG
Molecule: ribosomal RNA, 465 nt
Filed under: uncultured bacterium
Lineage: Bacteria
Description: partial 16S ribosomal RNA
Rfam family: Bacterial small subunit ribosomal RNA
Source: RNAcentral